This 474-nucleotide ribosomal RNA is filed under the name uncultured organism. Its description in RNAcentral is "partial 16S ribosomal RNA". It matches the Rfam family "Bacterial small subunit ribosomal RNA", at positions 333 to 798 of the family's 1533-position model. The record is from RNAcentral.
ACACUCCUGCGGGAGGCAGCAGUGGGGAAUUUUGGACAAUGGGCGAAAGCCUGAUCCAGCCAUGCCGCGUGCAGGAUGAAGGCCUUCGGGUUGUAAACUGCUUUUGUACGGAACGAAACGGCCUUUUCUAAUAAAGAGGGCUAAUGACGGUACCGUAAGAAUAAGCACCGGCUAACUACGUGCCAGCAGCCGCCGUAAUACGUAGGGUGCAAGCGUUAAUCGGAAUUACUGGGCGUAAAGCGUGCGCAGGCGGUUAUGUAAGACAGUUGUGAAAUCCCCGGGCUCAACCUGGGAACUGCAUCUGUGACUGCAUAGCUAGAGUACGGUAGAGGGGGAUGGAAUUCCGCGUGUAGCAGUGAAAUGCGUAGAUAUGCGGAGGAACACCGAUGGCGAAGGCAAUCCCCUGGACCUGUACUGACGCUCAUGCACGAAAGCGUGGGGAGCAAACAGGAGUAGAUACCCCAGUAGUCCCAU